GUGCUAAGGUAGCACAAUAACUUGUCUCCUAAUUUGAGAAUAGAAUGAAUGAAUAAACAAUAAGGCAACUGUCUCAUUAUAGAACAUAAAAAUUUAUACGGGGGUGAAAAAUCCCUCAUACAACAAAAAGACAAAAAGACCCUAGAAGCUUAUAAACAUUUAAUAAAUCCUACAUAAUGUUUUUUUGCUGGGAGGGCAUUAAGUAUAAUAAACACUUAAAACCAAAAAGAACCAUAUCAACCUACUUCAACCCCCAUAAGAAUAUAAGUAAGCUACUCUAGGGGUAACAGGCUAAUUCUCCUUAAGAGUACAUAUUGACAGGAGUGAUUGGCACCUCGAUGUUGGCUUAGGAAACUUGUUUUAUGCAGAAGUAAAAACAAGUGGUUUGUUCAACCUUUAAUAUCCUACGUGAUCUGGU
This 418-nucleotide ribosomal RNA is filed under the name Trypanosyllis cf. krohnii PAC-2017. RNAcentral describes it as "partial 16S large subunit ribosomal RNA". It matches the Rfam family "Bacterial large subunit ribosomal RNA", at positions 1948 to 2609 of the family's 2925-position model. The record is from RNAcentral. Lineage: Eukaryota; Metazoa; Annelida; Polychaeta; Phyllodocida; Syllidae.